Parus major (Great Tit) is the source of this 743-nucleotide long non-coding RNA. RefSeq lists it as uncharacterized. NCBI's taxonomy places the organism in Eukaryota, Metazoa, Chordata, Aves, Passeriformes, Paridae. The transcript is spliced from 4 exons. The record is from RefSeq and is a predicted model, not a curated record.
CAGAGAGAGGAGAGACAUCCCUUAGCUUUUAAAUGUGCCUGAAUAACAGUCAGGCAUGUCCAGCAUUCUCUAGCAUUUUCCUAAAGGAAACAAGAGCCCAGAAGACCCUCCAAGAAAUAAGAAAAUAGGAUGAAUUGGGAAGUCCACUGACUGCCUUCAGUGCUGCCUUUGGCUUGAUUUUGUAAUUUUACAUCUUUGUCCUUACACCGGAGUCUGAUCCAGGAAACCAGGGAGUACUUCAGGCUCUUCCAUUGAAAUGCUUGAGGCUGAAAGUUAGCUGAAUGCAAAAAGAAUCAAGAAACAGAGAAACAUUCCAUGGUCCUUAAAACCCAAAGGUUUUUGCUAAUUAAUGCCACCACUGUGGAAAUGGAAGCAGUUCUGCAAACAAGCUGCGACAAAUGGGAUUUUUAUUGCCAGUGGAAAAGCCCGGGGAAUAAUUAGCGGGUCCAUGGAGAUCUUUUGAUUACAGACAUCUGCAUUGGUAAUGUCCAGAUGAAAAGAUCACCCAGGGAAAUGUUUUGGGAGUUUCACCUUAGGGCACAUUUAUUGUAUUGUCAGCUACACCCUUCAAAAUGCAGUUGGACAUAUGUGGGAAAAUAUUUUGUGAAAUGCUAGGCCAAGGAACCUGAUGUUGACUAAUCUGGACUAGGGAAACUGGCUUUGCUUUCCAAAGCACUGUCCAGCUGCCAAGACUUGCAGAUGUAAUAUUUUGAUAUCUCAUUAAAGCUGAUUUCACAGAGAUA